GGGUGAGAGCUCACCGGAGUAUUUCUCAGGUAGUUUGAGUUUGGACCAGAUACGUUGGCAUUUUAAAAUGUUUUGAUUGGUUGAAUUCAAACUUGAUCCCGUGUCCUGAUUGCAGUGUGCUCCAUCGUGUUUCUCAUACUUUGGAGUGUUGGGUCUGCCAUGUCAAUUAAUGAGGCGCGAUCCAACGCCCCUGGUUUUUUCUGAUUUUAAUUCUUUUUAUUUUAUUAUUUUAAAUUGCUUUUUCUUUAAAAAUUCGUAGUAAUUUCAU
RNAcentral lists this long non-coding RNA (268 nucleotides) under Lathyrus oleraceus (garden pea). RNAcentral's name for it is "Pisum sativum (pea) long non-coding RNA (PSAT_LNC003187)". The record is from RNAcentral. Lineage: Eukaryota; Viridiplantae; Streptophyta; Magnoliopsida; Fabales; Fabaceae.